This 60-nucleotide unclassified non-coding RNA is filed under the name synthetic construct. The record is from RNAcentral.
UGUAGAAUCUCACCAAGCAGGUCCACACGAAAGAGUAACUUCGUGUUUGUUUUAUCUUAA